This 76-nucleotide transfer RNA is filed under the name Gemmatimonadota bacterium. RNAcentral's name for it is "Gemmatimonadetes bacterium tRNA-Lys". It matches the Rfam family "tRNA". Rfam says of the family: Transfer RNA (tRNA) molecules are approximately 80 nucleotides in length. Their secondary structure includes four short double-helical elements and three loops (D, anti-codon, and T loops). Lineage: Bacteria; Pseudomonadati; Gemmatimonadota. The record is from RNAcentral.
GCGCCCAUAGCUCAGCUGGUAGAGCAGCCGACUCUUAAUCGGCUUGUCCAGGGUUCGAUCCCCUGUGGGCGUACCA